Molecule: RNA transcript, 3880 nt
Organism: Siniperca chuatsi (mandarin fish)
Lineage: Eukaryota; Metazoa; Chordata; Actinopteri; Centrarchiformes; Sinipercidae
Gene name: tumor necrosis factor receptor superfamily member 5-like
Exons: 6
Source: RefSeq, a predicted model, not a curated record
GAGGCGGAAAUGGAGUCAGAGGAGGAAUCAGAGCGCGAAAUUAGAAACGAGGAUUCGAGAGGAUUUGAAAAUAAAAAGAAAAGGAAGAAGAGUAACUCAAGUGAAUCCGGUCAGAAAGAGGAAAAGUAUCUUGUUGGGAUGAUAGCAGUGACACAAACAGACGGCAUUUUCAAGAAUCCACAUGAAGUCGGAAAGUUUGUAGGAGGAAAGCUCGGAGAUGUCAGAUCGGUCAGGAUAACAAGAAGUGGGAUGGUUAUCAUUGAAUGUGUGUCAAAGCAUCAGAGAGACAGAGCCCUGAAGAUUCAUGCAUUUGGAGAUUAUAGCAGUGUGGAUUGCUUCCCACUCGGAGCAGAAGUAAAAAAGAAGGGGGUAGUAAGCGGAGUGCCACUGUCGGUGGAGGCCGAGUCAUUUCGGGAGGUUGAAGGUGUGUGUGAGGCAAGAAGGCUGACAAGAUUCAGAAAUGGGGAGAAGGAGGACAGUAACUCAGUGUGUUUGACUUUUGAGGGGGAGUUACCAGAGAGAGUGUACCUAGAUUAUGUGUGCUACAGGGUGAGGCCAUAUGAGAGAGCGCCUCUCAGGUGUUUCUGCUGUCAGGAGUAUGGACAUGUUGCGGCAGUAUGUAGAGGAGGCAGAAGAUGUGGGAGAUGUGGGAAGGACGACUGUAAUGUGGAGAAGUGUAAAGUGGAGAAAGAACAAGCAAAGUGCCUGCACUGUGAGGGAAACCACUAUACGGGAUCAGCAAAAUGUCCAAAAAGAAUUAAGGAAAUGAAAAUGAAUAAGAUCAGAGCGGAAAAGGGAUUGUCAUAUCCGGAAGCUGUUAAGAGUAUGGAGAGGAACGGUGAAAGGGUGGUAGUUCAAAAGGAAAAGGAGAAGAAAGGAAAUGGAGACGAGCAAAACAUCAGUAUGGACAAGAAGCGAUUUCUGGCAUUUAUUGCCACGGUUAUAAACUGUGCGGCUGAAAUGAAGGGGAAGUCAGAAAGGAUUAAGAUGGUGCUGGAUGCGGCAAGAAGAUUCUUGAAUGUUGUGGACAUAACUGGAGAGGAUCUGGAUGUUACACUGAGGGAAGGAGUUGCACCAACUCAGACAGCUGGGUCUGGGUUAUAGAAUGGACUAUGGCAUUGGAUCACGUUGGGUGGACAAUGUUUAAAGUUUAAACUGUGAAGAUGUUAAAAUUCAGUAGGUGGCGGAAAUGCGCAAUUAGGGACGCCAACCGCCAUAAAACACAACAGAAGAAGAAGAAGAAAAGUCGCCACGUGACUGUUGUGGACUUCCGCUUUUACUUUGAAGGAUCGGGACGGACAUUGGAGCUGCAUCAGUUUUUCUGAAACCAGGAUCGGGACGGACAGUGGAGCUGCAUCAGUUUUUCUGAGACGCUGAAACCAGAUUAUUGUUCCCGGAAGUCGGUCCCUAGCACCUACUCCUGAUGACAUCACGCACAUCGUGAAAGAUGGCAAGCUAUGAUUGGUCGGGGAGCAACGUGGAGUCUGUCAUGUAUCACGGCCGAGUCACGGCAAGAAUUUGUGACUUUACAAUAGAAAAACCUGACGCAGUGACCAUCGAAACAGAACAAAUAAUGUGUAGUCUGAACCCGGCGUUAGGGAUCAAAACAGAGCUGCAGAUCUUAAAGUAAAUUAUUUUCAAACAGGAUACUUUAAGAAUAAAUGUGUUGGCCACUAAAACAGAAAUGGCCACACUGAGUUUCAAGUUUCAGUUCUCAGCAGUUAACACUCAGGAAUACACUCAGUGGCCAGUUUAUUAGGUACACCUAGCCUAAACUACUGCAGUCUAAUACAGCAGUCCUGCAAGAAAUCCUCCUUCAUGAAGGUUAUAAUGUUCAGCUUCUGUUGAAACUGUUUCAGAGACGUGUUGAUUCAACAUGUGAUCAUUUGGAGGAUGUAGUUUGUGCUACUGUAGUCCAUUAUACAGAGAGGUAUUUCUGUUAUUUAGCCUACCCUCAUGGAUAUAAAUGGGGAGAUAAAAUAUCUGAUGAUAAAGAUAAUAAAUCUGCAGUUUCUACCGGCCCAUUUCCACGUAUUCCUCGCCAGAUUGUCUAUUGUGCUUAGGCCUUAGCUUUCCAGCCUCAUGUUCUGCCUGCCUGACUCUGCCAGCUUGAUCCACUGCCUGCCCAUCGGACUUCUGCCUCUCAGCCUGACCCCUUUUUGGAUCUUUUUGCCUGUUUUGAUCUGCCUGCCGGUUUUUAAUUUUGCUUGUUUUUGACCACAGCUAAAUGCGAACUUUACCCGUCCUGCUGUCUCUGAGUCGUGCAUCUGGGUUCAAAGCUGUCUCUCUACUGAGCCGUUACAGCACUGAUGAGACACAGAAACUGAACAUUUACUGAACAUCUUGUCAGACACACAGUGAAGUCAUGGUCGAACGUGACUUCUUAAAAAGCAGCAAAAUUGCGUUAUUCAUAAAUGUAUACAUUUUCACUCAGUGAAGCUACAGCUGCUUUAAAUCAUGAACUGCUGAAGCUGAUGCUGCAUGUGGAGAACAAAGUUCAACACAUCAGCUUGUAACAUUAUGUUUGUCGUUGGAAAGGAGAACCAAAAAUGUUGGUCACAGUCACGAGCUGAUGUCCAGGGUUGUUUCUGACCCAAUUUCUCGUUUUUGUUGGUUCAGAAAGCAGAACUAUUUCAACAUGCAUGGGGAAAGGGAAGUGUCUGUAAUCUGGAUUUUCUUUCAGUUUUGAGAUGUGAAAACUGCUUUUAGAAGAAAGGCCCUCAAAUCAGGUCAUCGAAACAUAGUUUUGUGUUGUUAUAUAAUAACCUGGUUCCAGACCGUUGAAUUGCUGUCCACAUCUCUGAUUUGCUCUGUACGCAACAUGUGCAAAUGCAGAACAUAACACAAGUUAUACAAGUACACUUAGUCAACAUCAUGUCAGCAUAUCUCUGAUGACACCAGAGUGUCUGCGUAUUUAAGGAAAUACAAGUCAACAAGAUCAUUAAUGUGCAGGUCUCUGAUGAAGGAACCAAGAACUACAGUCUGUGGGGAAACAAUCAGAUCACUGUGAGCACAAAUACUCAGAAGUGAAAGUAAAACAAGAUUGGUUAGGGGAUUACCAGUAUCUCUAAAAAAACAAAUUCAAACCCAGAGGAAGGGUUCAACUUCCAGUCUGUGCGCCUUCAGAAUAAAAGCUGAGAAUGCUUUUGUUUUAAUAAGAACUGUAACUUGGUGUCUAAUUGUCACACCCAUUAAUGAAACCUCAGCAACUGGUGACAGAAAAAUACUGAAAGUAGUACAACAUGCAGCAUUUUAGACUGUGGAGGCUACACAUAAUGGACUGACAAUAAAACCAGUGAGCACUUUGUUUAGACACUACGUCACCUCUUUGAUUUUAAUAACACAGCAGACAAAUGUGUAACUUUCCAAAUGUUUGACGUGACAAAAGGCAAAGAAUCGUACGAGGCAUGUACAAAUAUCUGCAGGUAUUGGUCCGACAACUAGUGAAAGUGGUCUGUAAUAAUAAUACACACCGACCUUUGAACUGUUUAGAUUGCUGUGACUAUGUGAAGUCAUCAGUAGUGAGGAGGAAGGAAGGUGGACUUUGGUCAGAGGUGUCAUUUACUGCACACUUCUCUUUCAUUUCACUUUGCACCACAAUUCGUUGCACUAAUGGAAGAAGCUUCCAUUUCAAAAGAGGCUCGGGUCCGCAGUAUCCUGAAGCUGCAUCAGCCUUAAUGUGUCGCUGAAACCAGGACUGAACUUGAUAAAAACUGGACCAGGAGCGCGGUGCUCUGUAACAAACAGAACUGGCUGUCAUGUUUUCCAGGUCGGGGGAGAGAGACUAAGAACAAAGCUUUCGAUUUCCAGACGGUGUCCCUGUUUGGAUUUUACAUCUCACUUCAUCCCAGAUCUCAGUGAGAUGACGUCUUCAGCCCAU